AUGAAAAAACUGAGGCUGAGAGAGGCACAGUUGUUUGAAGCCACAUGAUAAGCUGCAGGAGAGAAGGCCCCCAAGACAGCAAGAACAAGCCAUCAUCUUCAGUGAGAUCCAGGAGUAAGGAGAGAGAGACUGAGGACCACAGUAGGUACUCAACCAUCUUUGCAGCUAACUUCUUGGCUCCUCAGUGCUGCUCAGCCUGA
RNAcentral lists this long non-coding RNA (200 nucleotides) under Callithrix jacchus (white-tufted-ear marmoset). RNAcentral's name for it is "lncRNA (ENSCJAG00000083936.1)". Lineage: Eukaryota; Metazoa; Chordata; Mammalia; Primates; Cebidae. The record is from RNAcentral.